AUACGGAGGGUGCGAGCGUUAAUCGGAAUUACUGGGCGUAAAGCGUACGUAGGCGGUUUGCUCAGUCAGAUGUGAAAGCCCCGGGCUUAACCUGGGAACUGCAUUUGAUACUGGCAGACUAGAGUAUGAUAGAGGGGGGUAGAAUUCCUGGUGUAGCGGUGAAAUGCGUAGAUAUCAGGAGGAAUACCAGUGGCGAAGGCGGCCCCCUGGAUCAAUACUGACGCUGAGGUACGAAAGCGUGGGGAGCGAACAGGAUUAGAAACCCUAGUAGUCC
This 274-nucleotide ribosomal RNA is filed under the name uncultured bacterium. RNAcentral's name for it is "partial 16S ribosomal RNA". It matches the Rfam family "Bacterial small subunit ribosomal RNA", at positions 523 to 796 of the family's 1533-position model. The record is from RNAcentral.